UAUCGGAUUGGUACUAAGCCAUGUGAGUCAUUGUAGCAAUACAAGGCAUACGGCUCAGUAACACGUAGUCAAUCUAACCUAUGGACGUGGAUAACCUCGGGAAACUGAGAAUAAUCCGCGAUAGAUCAUUAUACCUGGAACGGUUUAUGGUCCAAAUGAUUCGUCGCCAUAGGAUGGGACUGCGGCCUAUCAGCUUGUUGGUGAGGUAAUGGCCCACCAAGGCUAUUACAGGUACGGGCUCUGAGAGGAGAAGCCCGGAGAUGGGUACUGAGACACGGACCCAGGCCCUAUGGGGCGCAGCAGGCGAGAAACCUUUGCAAUGUGCGCAAGCACGACAAGGCUAAUCCGAGUGUUUCCUGCUAAAGGAAUCUUUUGUUAGUUCUAAAGCCACUAGUGAAUAAGGGGUGGGCAAGU
RNAcentral lists this ribosomal RNA (414 nucleotides) under uncultured archaeon CR-PA8a. RNAcentral's name for it is "bacterial SSU rRNA". It matches the Rfam family "Archaeal small subunit ribosomal RNA", at positions 31 to 451 of the family's 1478-position model. The record is from RNAcentral.